UGUAUUGUAGUUUAAUUGGUCAGAGCAUCCCCUGCCCCUGGCGUAAGCUGCGGGUUCGAGCCCCGUUAAUCUCA
RNAcentral lists this transfer RNA (74 nucleotides) under Burmannia itoana. Its description in RNAcentral is "tRNA-Asp". Lineage: Eukaryota; Viridiplantae; Streptophyta; Magnoliopsida; Dioscoreales; Burmanniaceae. The record is from RNAcentral.